UGCAGCGACGCCGCGUGAGGGAUGACGGCCUUCGGGUUGUAAACCUCUUUUGACAGGGACGAAGCGCAAGUGACGGUACCUGUAGAAGAAGCACCGGCCAACUACGUGCCAGCAGCCGCGGUAAUACGUAGGGUGCGAGCGUUGUCCGGAAUUACUGGGCGUAAAGAGCUUGUAGGCGGUCUGUCACGUCUUCUGUGAAAACUUGGGGCUCAACCUUAAGCUUGCAGGGGAUACGGGCAGACUAGAGUACUUCAGGGGAGACUGGAAUUCCUGGUGUAGCGGUGAAAUGCGCAGAUAUCAGGAGGAACACCGGUGGCGAAGGCGGGUCUCUGGGAAGUAACUGACGCUGAGAAGCGAAAGCGUGGGUAGCGAACAGGAUUAGAUACCCUGGUAGUCCACGCCGUAAACGGUGGGUACUAGGUGUGGGUUUCCUUCCACGGGAUCCGUGCCGUAGCUAACGCAUUAAGUACCCCGCCUGGGGAGUACGGCCGCAAGGCUAAAACUCAAAGGAAUUGACGGGGGCCCGCACAAGCGGCGGAGCAUGUGGAUUAAUUCGAUGCAACGCGAAGAACCUUACCUGGGUUUGACAUACACCGGAAAGCCAUAGAGAUAUGGCCCCCCUUGUGG
This 627-nucleotide ribosomal RNA is filed under the name Nocardia sp. So2Ps_898. RNAcentral's name for it is "bacterial SSU rRNA". It matches the Rfam family "Bacterial small subunit ribosomal RNA", at positions 387 to 1024 of the family's 1533-position model. The record is from RNAcentral. Lineage: Bacteria; Bacillati; Actinomycetota; Actinomycetes; Mycobacteriales; Nocardiaceae.